This 253-nucleotide ribosomal RNA is filed under the name uncultured bacterium. RNAcentral's name for it is "partial 16S ribosomal RNA". It matches the Rfam family "Bacterial small subunit ribosomal RNA", at positions 524 to 776 of the family's 1533-position model. The record is from RNAcentral.
UACGGAGGGUGCAAGCGUUAUCCGGAUUUACUGGGUUUAAAGGGUGCGUAGGCGGGCAGGUAAGUCAGAGGUGAAAUCUCCGAGCUUAACUCGGAAACUGCCUUUGAUACUAUCUGUCUUGAAUAUUGUGAAGGUAAGCGGAAUAUGUCAUGUAGCGGUGAAAUGCUUAGAUAUGACAUAGAACACCUAUUGCGAAGGCAGCUUACUACGCAUAUAUUGACGCUGAGGCACGAAAGCGUGGGGAUCAAACAGG